CGGAGCGUAGCGCAGCCUGGUAGCGCACCACAAUGGGGUUGUGGGGGUCGCGAGUUCGAAUCUCGCCGCUCCGACCA
RNAcentral lists this transfer RNA (77 nucleotides) under Halomonas denitrificans. RNAcentral describes it as "tRNA-Pro". It matches the Rfam family "tRNA". Rfam says of the family: Transfer RNA (tRNA) molecules are approximately 80 nucleotides in length. Their secondary structure includes four short double-helical elements and three loops (D, anti-codon, and T loops). Lineage: Bacteria; Pseudomonadati; Pseudomonadota; Gammaproteobacteria; Oceanospirillales; Halomonadaceae. RNAcentral also lists the same sequence under 8 other names. The record is from RNAcentral.